This 492-nucleotide ribosomal RNA is filed under the name Salmonella enterica subsp. diarizonae. Its description in RNAcentral is "bacterial SSU rRNA". It matches the Rfam family "Bacterial small subunit ribosomal RNA", at positions 1051 to 1533 of the family's 1533-position model. Lineage: Bacteria; Pseudomonadati; Pseudomonadota; Gammaproteobacteria; Enterobacterales; Enterobacteriaceae. The record is from RNAcentral.
GUCGUCAGCUCGUGUUGUGAAAUGUUGGGUUAAGUCCCGCAACGAGCGCAACCCUUAUCCUUUGUUGCCAGCGGUUAGGCCGGGAACUCAAAGGAGACUGCCAGUGAUAAACUGGAGGAAGGUGGGGAUGACGUCAAGUCAUCAUGGCCCUUACGACCAGGGCUACACACGUGCUACAAUGGCGCAUACAAAGAGAAGCGACCUCGCGAGAGCAAGCGGACCUCAUAAAGUGCGUCGUAGUCCGGAUUGGAGUCUGCAACUCGACUCCAUGAAGUCGGAAUCGCUAGUAAUCGUGGAUCAGAAUGCCACGGUGAAUACGUUCCCGGGCCUUGUACACACCGCCCGUCACACCAUGGGAGUGGGUUGCAAAAGAAGUAGGUAGCUUAACCUUCGGGAGGGCGCUUACCACUUUGUGAUUCAUGACUGGGGUGAAGUCGUAACAAGGUAACCGUAGGGGAACCUGCGGUUGGAUCACCUCCUUACCUGAAAGAA